RNAcentral lists this transfer RNA (77 nucleotides) under Hathewaya histolytica. RNAcentral's name for it is "tRNA-Arg(tcg)". It matches the Rfam family "tRNA". Rfam says of the family: Transfer RNA (tRNA) molecules are approximately 80 nucleotides in length. Their secondary structure includes four short double-helical elements and three loops (D, anti-codon, and T loops). The record is from RNAcentral. Lineage: Bacteria; Bacillati; Bacillota; Clostridia; Eubacteriales; Clostridiaceae.
GCACCCAUAGCUCAGUUGGAUAGAGCUACAGACUUCGAAUCUGGAGGUCGCGGGUUCAAUUCCUGCUGGGUGCGCCA